GCCAGAAUGGACAUGGGCAGCAA
RNAcentral lists this microRNA (23 nucleotides) under Gallus gallus (chicken). RNAcentral's name for it is "gga-miR-1794". The record is from miRBase by way of RNAcentral. Lineage: Eukaryota; Metazoa; Chordata; Aves; Galliformes; Phasianidae.